GACGAACGCUGGCGGCGUGCUUAACACAUGCAAGUCGAACGGAAAGGCCCUGCUUGCAGGGUGCUCGAGUGGCGAACGGGUGAGUAACACGUGGGUGAUCUGCCCCUUACUUUGGGAUAAGCCUGGGAAACUGGGUCUAAUACUGUAUAGGACCAUGCUGUAGGUGGUGUGGUGGAAAGAUUAGUUUCGGUAAGGGAUGAGCUCGCGGCCUAUCAGCUUGUUGGUGGGGUAAUGGCCUACCAAGGCGUCGACGGGUAGCCGGCCUGAGAGGGUGGACGGCCACAUUGGGACUGAGAUACGGCCCAGACUCCUACGGGAGGCAGCAGUGGGGAAUAUUGCACAAUGGGCGCAAGCCUGAUGCAGCGACGCCGCGUGGGGGAUGACGGCCUUCGGGUUGUAAACUCCUUUCAGCCAUGACGAAGCCCUUGUGGUGACGGUAGUGGUAGAAGAAGCACCGGCUAACUACGUG
RNAcentral lists this ribosomal RNA (469 nucleotides) under uncultured bacterium. RNAcentral describes it as "partial 16S ribosomal RNA". It matches the Rfam family "Bacterial small subunit ribosomal RNA", at positions 28 to 507 of the family's 1533-position model. The record is from RNAcentral.